This 76-nucleotide transfer RNA is filed under the name Bacillus cereus. RNAcentral's name for it is "tRNA-Ala". It matches the Rfam family "tRNA". From Rfam's summary of the family: Transfer RNA (tRNA) molecules are approximately 80 nucleotides in length. Their secondary structure includes four short double-helical elements and three loops (D, anti-codon, and T loops). The record is from RNAcentral. Lineage: Bacteria; Bacillati; Bacillota; Bacilli; Caryophanales; Bacillaceae.
GGAGGAUUAGCUCAGCUGGGAGAGCACCUGCUUUGCAAGCAGGGGGUCGUCGGUUCGAUCCCGUCUGCCUCCACCA